CAGUCGCCGCGGGAAUACGUAGGGUGCGAGCGUUAAUCGGAAUUACUGGGCGUAAAGCGUGCGCAGGCGGUUCGUUAAGACAGAUGUGAAAUCCCCGGGCUUAACCUGGGAACUGCAUUUGUGACUGGCGAGCUAGAGUAUGGCAGAGGGGGGUAGAAUUCCACGUGUAGCAGUGAAAUGCGUAGAGAUGUGGAGGAAUACCGAUGGCGAAGGCAGCCCCCUGGGCCAAUACUGACGCUCGUGCACGAAAGCGUGGGGAGCAAACAGGAUUAGAUACCCGGGUAGUCCCUGUCUCUUAUAC
RNAcentral lists this ribosomal RNA (301 nucleotides) under uncultured bacterium. RNAcentral describes it as "partial 16S ribosomal RNA". It matches the Rfam family "Bacterial small subunit ribosomal RNA", at positions 509 to 807 of the family's 1533-position model. The record is from RNAcentral.